ACAACCCUCAGGCCCUGGUGCCUGGUGUUGGGGCACUACAGCAUGCUGUAGGCCCUGAAAUCCAGUGGCGGGACCGCUGUAAACCCGGGCGUAGUAACUUUACGUCGUCCAGGGUGUUCCGGCGCGCCCCAGCCGUUAAACCCCACCAUAUUAUCAA
This 157-nucleotide unclassified non-coding RNA is filed under the name uncultured Cephalotheca. RNAcentral's name for it is "sequence contains ITS2". The record is from RNAcentral. Lineage: Eukaryota; Fungi; Ascomycota; Sordariomycetes; Cephalothecales; Cephalothecaceae.